CACAGUGCUGCCGGAGGAGAUGGGAGCUACACGGUGUACUGAACACCUGCUGCAGAGCAGCCACAUCAUGCCCACACCUGCCAGGACAGCUGGCACCCCGCGUGAGGACAGAGACACAGCCUGCUGUGACGAGCUACCUCUGUUCAUUUGAGCCUGAGAGAAAUUUGGUGUACUGGGGAAAAAACUCCACAAGAUUGUAAGCACAACUGCCAUGCAGAUAGAUGGGACAUAGCUGGGCAGAUAUUAAAAGUGGUCAUCUUGAGACAGUGACGCAUAUUAUUUCUAUUUUCUGGAUUUUUCAUAUUUUCAAUAAUACAACAAACAGGCUUCCCAGACACAUGGAUGAGCAUCCUAGGGAAGAAGCAGAGUGAGCCUCUGGGGAGUCAGUGCAUGGACAUCUCUAGAAGUUUCUAUGGGGAAGAAACCUUGGCAAAGACUUUGGAAUCACAUCACUUGAAUAUAUUCAAGGACCUUCCUGUUUUCUUCAGGGUCAUAAAACUCUCCUUAAAAAGGGAUUUAUGCUUUUUAUGUCUUUUCCACAAACCAUGCUUGGAUGGAUACUUUAAAAAGAUUUCAACAGUUGAAAAGUACACAGAGCGGAACGGGAAAGAAGCAUUUGCCAUCCUCGCCUGUGAUGAUGUCAGCAUAAUGCUGGGGUGUCUGAGGAGUAUUGGUAAAGAAAUUGUUAAAGAAAUAAAAGCUUCUGAAGCUGUUAAUUAGACUUAUUCUCUCAUUUCUUCACUGAUUUCUUUAUUUAUUUUUAUUCAAGGUCAUGCUCAAAGUCCUAGCCUACUUGGCUGCUAAUUUUAGUCUUCUAUUUUAUUGUAGCAAGAAUAUUUAAUAAGAAAGCUACCCUCAUAAAUUUUUCAAUGUAAAAUACAGUAUUGUUGGCUAUAGAAACAGUGUUGUGCAGUGGCUCCCUCUAAGGAUACAUCUUGCAUGCUUGAGAUUUUAUUCCCAUUGAUUAGCAAGUCCCCAUUUCUGCCUCCCCCCAGCCCCAG
Molecule: long non-coding RNA, 1001 nt
Filed under: Capra hircus (goat)
Lineage: Eukaryota; Metazoa; Chordata; Mammalia; Artiodactyla; Bovidae
Description: lncRNA (ENSCHIG00000004095.1)
Source: RNAcentral